This 216-nucleotide ribosomal RNA is filed under the name uncultured Glomeromycotina. RNAcentral describes it as "partial small subunit ribosomal RNA". The stretch from base 94 to 216 matches the Rfam family "Eukaryotic small subunit ribosomal RNA", at positions 738 to 864 of the family's 1831-position model. Lineage: Eukaryota; Fungi; Glomeromycota. The record is from RNAcentral.
GGCCUGGCUGGACGGUCCGCCCUCUGGGUGAGCACUGUCUGUGGUCGGGUCCUACCUUCUGGCGAAGCGGCAUGGCCUUAACCGGCCGUGGCGGGGAACCAGGACUUUUACUGUGAAAAAAUUAGAGUGUUCAAAGCAGGCACGCGCUUGAAUACAUUAGCAUGGAAUAAUGGAAUAGGACAAUGGUUCUAUUUGUUGGUUUCUAGGACCGUUGUA